RNAcentral lists this ribosomal RNA (253 nucleotides) under uncultured bacterium. Its description in RNAcentral is "partial 16S ribosomal RNA". It matches the Rfam family "Bacterial small subunit ribosomal RNA", at positions 524 to 776 of the family's 1533-position model. The record is from RNAcentral.
UACGUAGGCAGCGAGCGUUGUUCGGAGUUACUGGGCGUAAAGGGUGUGUAGGCGGUUGUUUAAGUUUGGUGUGAAAUCUCCCGGCUCAACUGGGAGGGUGCGCCGAAUACUGAAUGACUAGAGUGCGGGAGAGGAAAGUGGAAUUCCUGGUGUAGCGGUGAAAUGCGUAGAUAUCAGGAGGAACACCAAUGGCGAAGGCAGCACUGUGGGACGUGACUGACGCUGAGACGCGCAAGCGUGGGGAGCAAACAGG